GGAUGCGAGGGCAAUCUGGCUGCAGCAUCUGUCACCCCGUCGAUCACUAGGGUUGAUCUGGCUGGCUUAGGUGGGUGUCCCCUUCCUCCCUCACAGCUCCAUGCGUCCCUCCCAAAGCUUCACACCCUUCCCAGAUCGAGGAGGACUAUUGUUCAGUCAAGGGUAUACGAGUAGCCGUGCUCCCCUGCUAGAAUCUACAAGCAAGCUUUCCGGGGCCAUUCCUUCCUUCCUCUCCCUCAGGGCAUCAUCAUUUAUAGCAGGGGUUUUGCUCUUAUGACAACAAAUCCCUGGGAGGCUCAAACACGGAACAUUUCUUUC
This 318-nucleotide small nuclear RNA is filed under the name Castor canadensis (American beaver). Its description in RNAcentral is "7SK RNA (ENSCCNG00000021321.1)". It matches the Rfam family "7SK RNA". Rfam says of the family: 7SK was discovered as an abundant small nuclear RNA in the mid-70s but a possible function has only recently been suggested. Two independent studies have found that 7SK RNA binds the CDK9/cyclin T complex (known as elongation factor P-TEFb). P-TEFb activates transcription by phosphorylating the C-terminal domain of RNA polymerase II. Lineage: Eukaryota; Metazoa; Chordata; Mammalia; Rodentia; Castoridae. The record is from Rfam by way of RNAcentral.